AUUGAACGCUGGCGGCAGGCCUAACACAUGCAAGUCGAGCGAGCGGCGGACGGGUGAGUAAUGUAUGGGGACUGCCCGAAAGAGGGGGAUAACUACUGGAAACGGUAGCUAAUACCGCAUACUAUCGGAUAACCCAUAUGGGAUUAGCUAGUAGGUGAGGUAAUGGCUCACCUAGGCGACGAUCCAUAGCUGUUCUUAGAGGAUGAUCAGCCAAACUGGGAUUGAGACACGGCCCAGACUCCUACGGAGGCAGCAGUGGGGAAUAUUGCACAAUGGGCGCAAGCCUGAUGCAGCCAUGCCGCGUGUAUGAAGAAGGCCCUAGGGUUGUAAAGUACUGUCAUUCGGGAGGCGUUACCGACAGAAGAAGCACCGGCUAACUCCGUGCCAGCAGCCGCGGUAAUUC
Molecule: ribosomal RNA, 403 nt
Filed under: uncultured bacterium
Lineage: Bacteria
Description: partial 16S ribosomal RNA
Rfam family: Bacterial small subunit ribosomal RNA
Source: RNAcentral